Molecule: ribosomal RNA, 254 nt
Filed under: uncultured bacterium
Lineage: Bacteria
Description: partial 16S ribosomal RNA
Rfam family: Bacterial small subunit ribosomal RNA
Source: RNAcentral
UACGUAGGGGGCAAGCGUUGUCCGGAUUUAUUGGGCGUAAAGAGCGUGUAGGCGGCCAGGUAGGUGGGUUGUGAAAACUGGAGGCUCAACCUUCAGACGUCGACCCAAACCCCCUGGCUAGAGUCCGGAAGAGGAGAGUGGAAUUCCUGGUGUAGCGGUGAAAUGCGCAGAUAAUCGGGAGGAACACCUGUGGCGAAGGCGGGUCUCUGGGUCGAUACUGACGCUGAGGAGCGAAAGCGUGGGGAGCGAACAGG